CUAAUAUUCCCCAAAACUAGCUCAUUAAAGAUGAAAUAGACCAGCUCUCUUCAGUGAAGAGGACAAAUAGUCUAUUUAAAGCAUUUGUUCCAAUAAAAUAAGUAGAGUGAAACUUGGAUGCUAAAAUUACAUGAGUAGAAAUCUUCCUGGCACUUAGUGUUUCUACAUUAUUGAAAAAUGAUGUUCCAGAAAGAUUACUUUUUUUCUCUUAUUUUUACUGCCAUCGUCAACCUAUUUUGGGACAUUUUUAUAUAUUGAAUCUGGGUUCUUUUUUGACCUGUUAUAGGUUUUUUUCUCCUCCAGUUCAACUGCAUCCUUUUUUUUUUUAAAAAAAAGAGAAUUAAAAAAUAUUAAAUUCUGCAUGUAAUAUAUCUGCUGUCAUCUUAGUUGGACCAGCUUCCCAUUUAUUUAUCUUAAAAUUAUCCAGUUAUAUCUUAAUUCCAUCCAAAGAAGAUACAGUCUGAAGAUAGAGGUGUACUCUCUUCAAUGCAAUUUACUGUACAGUUAGAAAGCCAAGUGUUAAAUGGAGAAGAUGUUGUUUUUAUUAAACAUUUUGAGAUUUAGAUAAACUACAUUUUAACUGACUGUCUAAAGUGAUUAUCUUUUUCCCCCAAGGUUAGUCUUAAAAUCUUUUUUUUGAGUUUGAAUGAAGGCUUUACAUAAGAAAUUAUUAAAAGCAAGGGGGUGGGUAAUAAAUGUACAUAACAUUAAAUAAUGUAAUGUAGGUGUAGAUUCCCAGAUGCGUUUGGAUGUACAGAUGGACUAUGGAGUACUUUUUUCUGAUGAUGAUUGGUGUAGAAAUGUGUGAAUUUGGUUGGCUUUUUACAUCUUGCCUACCAUUGCAUGAAACAUUGGGGUUUCUUCAAAAUGUGUGUGUCAUACUUCUUUUGGGAGGGGGGUUGUUUUCUUCUGUUUCUUUUCUGAGACUCCUACAGGAACUAAAUUUGUAAUUUAGAAACAUUUAAUUUUGUUAAUCCUGUCUGGGACACUUAAGUAACAUCUAAAGCAUUACUGCUUUAGAAUGUUCAAAUAAAAUUUCCUGACC
Molecule: long non-coding RNA, 1045 nt
Filed under: Marmota monax (woodchuck)
Lineage: Eukaryota; Metazoa; Chordata; Mammalia; Rodentia; Sciuridae
Source: RNAcentral